RNAcentral lists this long non-coding RNA (769 nucleotides) under Homo sapiens (human). Its description in RNAcentral is "HSALNT0377343". Lineage: Eukaryota; Metazoa; Chordata; Mammalia; Primates; Hominidae. The record is from RNAcentral.
GAAAAAGAGGGGAUCAAAGACUCCCGGUGAUGUACGCCCGAAGGCCACCAGGUGACGGAUUCUGACCUUAUCACAGAGAGAGGGUGGAUUCCGGGGCAAUCCGAUUCAAGUCCGAGUCCACUCCGAUUUCCCAAUCCCUGUCUUGCAGCAGAAGCUCUCGGGUCCUGGAAGCGCGGAGCCUCUCUGGCCUUGAGCCCCGAGGGCAUGGCCCUGUGAUGUCACAAGGUGGCGUGACAGCCGGGACGAACCCCGACCCCCAGCGCGGCAUCCUUCCCGCGGCCAGCGACCACCGCCUCCCGGGAAGGUGGCUGACCACAGCCGCAAGCCGCUGCGCGCCCGGCAAGCCGAAUGGAAGGACGGCGCGGGCAAACGAACGCCCAGUGAGGUCCAGAGAAGAGAGGGACCUUCCGAGGGUCUUCUAGUCGAUCUCGGACAGGCUUUUGAGUGCCUUUUAAGCAUUCCAAAAUUUUCAGGAGACAACAGUAAUUUACAAAAUAGAGUAGAAUUAAAAGGGGGGAAAGGGGAGACUUUUCAGAGUGGGCAGAGAGGCUGAGAAAUGAACUUAGUAAAAGGCAAACCAAAGCAACCGCAGGUCUCGUGUCGUUCUCUGGAUCUGCGCAGUCCAGCAGGGUGAGCCGCUACCCACAGACUCGCAGGGCCCAUGAUCGCUUGAAAUGUGGCUUGUCCAAAUUGACAUGUGCUGUAAGGUACGCAUUGUAUUUUGAAGGCUUAGUAUGAAAAAAAUAAACUCUUUCGUUAUUAAUCUUCA